RNAcentral lists this ribosomal RNA (389 nucleotides) under uncultured Anoxybacillus sp. Its description in RNAcentral is "bacterial SSU rRNA". It matches the Rfam family "Bacterial small subunit ribosomal RNA", at positions 992 to 1382 of the family's 1533-position model. Lineage: Bacteria; Bacillati; Bacillota; Bacilli; Caryophanales; Anoxybacillaceae. The record is from RNAcentral.
UAGUUCGGGGCGGUUUCCCCCGUUCCGGGGGGACGAGGGUGACAGGUGGUGCAUGGUUGUCGUCAGCUCGUGUCGUGAGAUGUUGGGUUAAGUCCCGCAACGAGCGCAACCCUCGACCUUAGUUGCCAGCAUUCAGUUGGGCACUCUAAGGUGACUGCCGGCUAAAAGUCGGAGGAAGGUGGGGAUGGCGUCAAAUCAUCAUGCCCCUUAUGACCUGGGCUACACACGUGCUACAAUGGGCGGUACAAAGGGUCGCGAACCCGCGAGGGGGAGCCAAUCCCAAAAAAGCCGCUCUCAGUUCGGAUUGCAGGCUGCAACUCGCCUGCAUGAAGCCGGAAUCGCUAGUAAUCGCGGAUCAGCAUGCCGCGGUGAAUACGUUCCCGGGCCUU